ACUCAAAGGAAUUGACGGGGGCCCGCACAAGCGGUGGAGCAUGUUGUUUAAUACGUCACUAACCGUAGAACCUUACCAGGGUUUGACAUGGCACGAAAUCCUAUGAAAGUAGGCUCUCCCGCAAGGGAGCGUGCACACAGGUGUUGCAUGGCUGUCGUCAGCUCGUGUCGUGAGAUGUUGGGUUAAGUCCCGCAACGAGCGCAACCCUCAUCCCAUGUUGCCAUCGGGUAAAGCCGGGAACUCUUGGGAAACUGCCCGUGUAAGCGGGAGGAAGGUGAGGACGACGUCAAGUCAGCAUGGCCCUUACAUCCUGGGCUACAAACAUGCUACAAUGGACGGUAGACAAAGGGGCGCAAGACCGCGAGGUGGAGCCGAUCCCAAAAAUCCGUUCUCAGUUCGGAUCGCAGGCUGCAACUCGCCUGCGUGAAGCUGGAAUCGCUAGUAACCGCAGGUCAGCUAAACUGCGGUGAAUACGUUCCCGGGCCUUGUACACACCGCCCGU
RNAcentral lists this ribosomal RNA (502 nucleotides) under uncultured bacterium. Its description in RNAcentral is "partial 16S ribosomal RNA". It matches the Rfam family "Bacterial small subunit ribosomal RNA", at positions 899 to 1397 of the family's 1533-position model. The record is from RNAcentral.